AUAGCGUAUAUUAAAGUUGUUGCGGUUAAAAAGCUCGUAGUUGAAUCUGUGUCCCACGCUGUCGGUUCACCGCUCGCGGUGUUUAACUGGCAUGAUUGUGGGACGUCCUACCGGUGGGCUUAGCCCCUCGGGGCGGCCCAACUAAUAUCCCAUCGCGGUGCUCUUCGCUGAGUGUCGAGGUGGGCCGGUACGUUUACUUUGAACAAAUUAGAGUGCUUAAAGCAGGCUAUUUUCGCCUGAAUACUGUGUGCAUGGAAUAAUGGAAUAGGACCUCGGUUCUAUUUUGUUGGUUUUCGGAACCCCGAGGUAAUGAUUAAUAGGGACAGAUGGGGGCAUUCGUAUUGCGACGUUAGAGGUGAAAUUCUUGGAUCGUCGCAAGACGGACAGAAGCGAAAGCAUUUGCCAAAAAUGUUUUCUUUAAUCAAGAACGAAAGUUAGAGGUUCGAAGGCGAUCAGAUACCGCCCUAGUUCUAACCAUAAACGAUGCCAGCUAGCGAUCCGCCGAAGUUCCUCCGAUGACUCGGCGGGCAGCUUCCGGGAAACCAAAGCUUUUGGGUUCCGGGGGAAGUAUGGUUGCAAAGCUGAAACUUAAAGGAAUUGACGGAAGGGCACCACCAGGAGUGGAGCCUGCGGCUUAAUUUGACUCAACACGGGAAACCUCACCAGGCCCGGACACCGGAAGGAUUGACAGAUUGAGAGCUCUUUCUUGAUUCGGUGGGUGGUGGUGCAUGGCCGUUCUUAGUUGGUGGAGCGAUUUGUCUGGUUAAUUCCGAUAACGAACGAGACUCUAGCCUGCUAAAUAGGCGUACUUUCCGGUAUCUCGAAGGCCCCCGGCUUCGGUCGGGCGGUUUUUACUACCGGCGUACAAAUAAAUCUUCUUAGAGGGACAGGCGGCUUCUAGCCGCACGAGAUUGA
This 915-nucleotide ribosomal RNA is filed under the name Monoctenus juniperi. RNAcentral describes it as "SSU rRNA". It matches the Rfam family "Eukaryotic small subunit ribosomal RNA", at positions 594 to 1449 of the family's 1831-position model. The record is from RNAcentral. Lineage: Eukaryota; Metazoa; Arthropoda; Insecta; Hymenoptera; Diprionidae.